RNAcentral lists this long non-coding RNA (288 nucleotides) under Citrus maxima (pomelo). Its description in RNAcentral is "long non-coding RNA (CMAX_LNC001234)". Lineage: Eukaryota; Viridiplantae; Streptophyta; Magnoliopsida; Sapindales; Rutaceae. The record is from RNAcentral.
GGUUAUCUAUGAAGAUCUUCCAUCGAACUUAUGUGCUAUUCGAGAUUAUGUGGAGAAGAGGGAAGGAGAUAACUCCUUAGCGAAUGAUUCUGUAGAAACAACUAAUCACACACAAUCAUCAGAUGAUCUCACACAAUCAUCAGAUGAAUUAGGUGCCUCAUCAAGCAGUGACAAUGAAGAUCUUGUAGAUUCGGAAACUCCAAAUUCAUUUAAACAAAGACCCAGGGUUCCAGGCUUGCAAACAAACAUAGAAGUUCUUAAAGCUGAGCUCCUAGAAUUUAUUUCCAA